UCAAAAGAACGAAACCAGGAGACUUGACAUGCUGUAAGCAUAGCUAUCCAUUUCAAACAGCUACAAGGAAGACUUAUUUGCACAUAAUUACUAUUUCAAGAUAAUUUCUCUUGAUCCUGACACCGCAAGGCUGGAAAAGAUACUGUACAAGGGAGCUGAGGUUAAUAUAUAUAUAUAUAUAUAUAUAUACAUAUAUGCAUAUAUACACAAAACAUACAUAUGUGUCAAGGGAAGGAAUGAAUGUAGGAUAAAAGAUGACAGAAACUUCUUGGGAUUGGGAGGAGAAGCCUGGAGAACUGGAAUUUCUAGGAAGGAAGAGGGGCAGAAGAGCUCUGGAGUAUGGACAACCAGCAGAUUACAUAUGAAGGGGCAUGAAAGAUGCCAGGUUUAGUGACUGCCAGGGGAUACUGAGGAAGAAGUUGUCUCAUUUACGUCCCAAACCACAAGCCUGAAAGUUCACUUUGCACAGGCUUCCUGAAUAGGGAUGGGGAGUCUGAGAAGAACCUUUAAAUUUGACAGUUCUCUCAUAUUGUUUCAUGAAGCUUUUAACUCACAUAAUGUGUCUCUUUUUCUGAAAGAGAAAUGACUUUGAAAAACCUUAGAACUCUUUUGAGUGCACGAAGAUAUGUUCUCAAGGUAUAUAAUAAAACAUAGAGUUUUGGAAAUGAUCUUCA
Molecule: long non-coding RNA, 674 nt
Filed under: Monodelphis domestica (gray short-tailed opossum)
Lineage: Eukaryota; Metazoa; Chordata; Mammalia; Didelphimorphia; Didelphidae
Description: lncRNA (ENSMODG00000036040.2)
Source: RNAcentral